RNAcentral lists this long non-coding RNA (207 nucleotides) under Olea europaea (common olive). RNAcentral describes it as "long non-coding RNA (OEUR_LNC001656)". Lineage: Eukaryota; Viridiplantae; Streptophyta; Magnoliopsida; Lamiales; Oleaceae. The record is from RNAcentral.
AACCACACCACUCUCUCCGCCAUCAAGACCCUUUUCCAAGUCAAGAACCUUCUCUUAAUUCUUGGCGCCAACAGCCUCCUCCACUACAUCUCAGUAAAUACCACAGUUGCGGCCAAGCAAACGAUCAAGAUUCAUUUCCCUUGCAUAUGCAAAAAUCACAUUGAAAUAUCCAACAGGCGCUCAAAUUACAAGGAGAUUCUCGACGAC